AAGGGCACCACCAGGAGUGGAGCCUGCGGCUUAUUUUGACUCAACACGGAGAAACUCACCCGGCCCGGACACCAUAAGGAUUGUCUAUUGAUAGCUUUUUCCUGAUUUGGUGGAUGGUGGUGCAUGGCCGUUCUUAGUGCGGGGAGUUAUUUGUCUGGUUUAUUCCGAUAACUAGCGAGACUCUAGCCUACUAUAUAGUCUGCACAUUGCUUCUGUGUUGCAGUACUUCUUAGAGGGAUUUUCGGCGUACCGCCGCACGAGAUUGAGCUAUAACAGGUCUGUGAUGCCCUUAGAUGUCCGGGGCUGCACGCGCGCUACAAAGGCGAGAUCAACGUGCUGGUCCUUCCUCGAAAGAGCAAGGUAAACCCCUGAAAAUUUGCCGUGAUUGGAAUCGUAAAUUUUUACAAUCAUCCGCGAACAAGGAAUUCCAAGUAAAUGAGAGGGUUCUUCUCGCGUUGUUUACAUCCCUGCCCUUUGUACGCACCACCCCCGCUGCCUGUGACUGAUGUUUUUCUGAAC
Molecule: ribosomal RNA, 519 nt
Filed under: uncultured eukaryote
Lineage: Eukaryota
Description: bacterial SSU rRNA
Rfam family: Eukaryotic small subunit ribosomal RNA
Source: RNAcentral